RNAcentral lists this long non-coding RNA (1327 nucleotides) under Mytilus galloprovincialis (Mediterranean mussel). Lineage: Eukaryota; Metazoa; Mollusca; Bivalvia; Mytilida; Mytilidae. The record is from RNAcentral.
AUUGCAUUUCCAAAGCAAUUCCAUAUUGUUCAUAACCUCUAUACAAUAGAUAUUAAAAUUGUAAGAAAAAUUAAGUUUUAUAACUUUAGACAUCUUUUAAUAUGCACCAAUUAUAAUUCUGUGUGUAUUAUAAAUAUUGUUGGAAAUGGGUAUGAUCACCUUUAGUUGUACUUUUCAUAAAUAUACAUUCCACUUUAAUAAGGACCCAGUGCUUAAUUUUUAAUGACUACUAAGGACCCAGUGCUUAAUUUUUAAUGACUACUAAGGACCCAGUGCUUAAUUUUUAAUUACUACUGAGGACCCAGUGCUUAAUUUUUAAUGACUACUAAGGACCCAUUGCUUCAUUUUUAAUGACUACUAAGGACCCAGUGCUUAAUUUUUAAUGACUACUAAGGACCCAGUGCUUAAUUUUUAAUGACACAAAUUAAAGAACACAUGCAACUGGUCUUUAAAUUAUAAAAACAAACAUUUUCUAAGUUAGGUUGAUUAGCAUUUCAAUAUAGGUUGCUGAGGCAAAUGACAUUUUCCACUGUUUUAAGACAAUUUCAGUUUUCAUAAACUAUAAGACUGUCAGAUUGUCUAAAAUAUAUGACUUUAUUCAUUAAAAUUAUAUAUACUGUAUUAGAAAUAGAAGUGUGCUGGUCAUGUAAAGAGUAGAUAAAGUAAAGACAAUGCUCAUGAAUGUUAGGUUUGUCUUGAAAUAAUUUGAAAACCAUGUUAACCUCAUGCUAUUUACCAAAUAAUAUAUUCAUGUGUGACAGUGGUCACUUUGCUAGUAUAUUGUUUUAAUUCUUUUGUUUUGAGAGCUAAUUAAUAAUUCAUUUGGGUUUUUUUUCUUACUAGAUUGCUUGCUGUAAUGAAUCUCCUGACAUGAUAACCUACUAAUUUUUACAAUUAUUGAUAACGCUCUUACUCAUUCGACACGAGAGAAUGGGCCAUCACUCAAUAGGGAAGUUUGAUUAAUAAUUUACAAUUUGUUUUAUAUCAAUACUUAUAGAUAUAGGAAGAUAUGGUAUGAGUGCCAAUGAGACAACUCUCCAUCCAAAUAAAAAUUUAUAAAAGUAAACCAUUAUAGGUCAAUGUACGGCCUUCAACAUAGAGCCUUGGCUCACACCAAUCGACAAGCUAUAAAGGGCCCCAAAAUUACUUGUGUAAAACCAUUCAAACAGGAAAACCAACGGUCUAAUCUAUAUUUAAAAAAAACAAAAAAACGAGAAACAUGUAUAAAUUACAUAAACAAACUUAAAUCCUUACCAGAAGAAAAAUAAAUUCACUGUACAUAUGUAUGAGUGUUUGAAACUUUUUAAUCUUUUUUAAAGACUCAACA